Molecule: unclassified non-coding RNA, 299 nt
Filed under: Hevea brasiliensis (rubber tree)
Lineage: Eukaryota; Viridiplantae; Streptophyta; Magnoliopsida; Malpighiales; Euphorbiaceae
Source: RNAcentral
GCUUAUGGCUCAUUAUUGGCUUCCCUUUUCCAUAUUUUCGAGUCCUGUUGAAAUUUGAGAUAGUGAAGAUCCUCAGGUGUUACCAAUUUGGUUUACUUGUGUGAAUAUUGCCAGUAAUACAAGAAGUUUUUUCAAUCUCUGUGCUGCAUUUUUUUCCCUGUUCUUUUUCUCUUGCUGAAAAUAUAUUUGUUGUUGCAAUGCCCAUGGAAUAUUUCCAGUUCUUUGUGGCCGAUUGAGGUGGUUGAAUUUGCCUCUUUGAUGCAGGACCUUCCAUCAGAGAUUUUAAGUCUACAUAUUUU